Molecule: long non-coding RNA, 916 nt
Filed under: Glycine max (soybean)
Lineage: Eukaryota; Viridiplantae; Streptophyta; Magnoliopsida; Fabales; Fabaceae
Description: long non-coding RNA (GMAX_LNC001652)
Source: RNAcentral
GAUUUCUUCAUUUCCAGAGCAAAAUCUUGCAAUCCAGUCGUGCAAAGUGCACAUGUGAAUGUGAUGAUUCGUGUUGGACAGAAGGAAGAAAAACUAGUUGUUCUUUUGUGUUUAUUACAUUUUGUUCAUUUUUUUUUUGUGAUAAAUAAUGACGGCUUCUACGGUAGACCACUUUUAUAAGUGGUCCACCUAGAACAAAUAAUAGUGGCUCUUGGAUUAAUUUAAGGUGCAGAGUCAUAUUAUACACCCUCCAUACUAAAAGCUUUACCGUUCUUACUCUUCCUCCUUCUCUGGCAGACCCUUUUCCGUUUCUGGCUGCUCUUCCACUGCCUCCAAAGGCUCCGUCCAGAUGCACCCACCAUCGUCCCAAAUGCUGCAGGAAGUGCUCCUCCCCCAAAAUCAGAUCCAAACUUGUUUGAGAUAAAACAUAAUAACAAAUCAGGUCCACAAAAACAAUCUUGGAACUCAUAUGGAGCCAUACUCACAAAUCAAAAUCAAGAUUCAAACCCACAAAAUCAAGAUUCAACCCAAAUCAAAAUUGUUAGAUAGUGGAAUCAAAAAUUGCAAAACGAAGACAUCAUUGUCCUGAAAAAAUACAGUUAAAAGAUUACAGUAAAAAUAACUGAUUUACGAUUUAGCACAAAAAAAAUUGAUUUCUUUUUCAAUCACUCCUUGGACAUCAUAGGGAGUUCUACGAUAGCCUCGACAUCGUCGGGCUUUGGUUGUCGCGUUGGCUAGAGAGAAUGACGAGGUCAACGAUGUUAGGAAGUGAGGAGGUGCCGAAGAUGAGGAAGAAGACCUAAGGGAGAAGGAAUUUUGUGUGAAAUGUGCACCAUACUAACAAAAGAACGAGAUUAAUCCAAUGGCUGUUAAAUGUGAUUCAUCAGAGACCACUUGUCUUUCUGGUCCACGCUAG